This 253-nucleotide ribosomal RNA is filed under the name uncultured bacterium. Its description in RNAcentral is "partial 16S ribosomal RNA". It matches the Rfam family "Bacterial small subunit ribosomal RNA", at positions 524 to 776 of the family's 1533-position model. The record is from RNAcentral.
UACGAAGGGGGCUAGCGUUGCUCGGAAUCACUGGGCGUAAAGCGCACGUAGGCGGAUCUUUAAGUCAGGGGUGAAAUCCUGGAGCUCAACUCCAGAACUGCCUUUGAUACUGGGGAUCUCGAGUCCGGAAGAGGUGAGUGGAACUCCGAGUGUAGAGGUGAAAUUCGUAGAUAUUCGGAAGAACACCAGUGGCGAAGGCGACUCACUGGACACGUAUUGACGCUGAGGUGCGAAAGCGUGGGGAGCAAACAGG